AUUAACUUGGCAGAAUUAAUGCGCCUGAUUUAGGAUCAGCUUAUAGUAUACACAUACUAGUUG
RNAcentral lists this transfer RNA (63 nucleotides) under Pleurobranchaea sp. TY-2016. Its description in RNAcentral is "tRNA-Leu". Lineage: Eukaryota; Metazoa; Mollusca; Gastropoda; Pleurobranchida; Pleurobranchidae. The record is from RNAcentral.